This 300-nucleotide ribosomal RNA is filed under the name uncultured archaeon. Its description in RNAcentral is "partial 16S ribosomal RNA". The stretch from base 69 to 300 matches the Rfam family "Bacterial small subunit ribosomal RNA", at positions 564 to 795 of the family's 1533-position model. The record is from RNAcentral.
GAGGACGACGUGCCGGCGGGGGGGGGGAUGCGGUGGGGGCGAGGGUGGUGCGGAGGCGCUGAGGUGAGAGGGCGGGUGGGAGGCGUUGUAAGUCGGGGGUGAAAGCCGGGGGGGCGACCACAGAGUGGGCGUCGAUACAGCGAGGCAUGAGACCGGAAGAGGGUAGGGGAACUGCGAGUGUAGAGGUGAAAUUCGUAGAGAGUCGCAAGAACGCCAGAGACGAAGGCGGCGGACUGGUCCGGAUCUGACGCUGAGGCGCGAAAGCGUGGGGGGCAAACAGGAUUAGAUACCCGAGUAGUC